Mustela erminea (ermine) is the source of this 1400-nucleotide long non-coding RNA. RefSeq lists it as uncharacterized. The record is from RefSeq and is a predicted model, not a curated record. The transcript is spliced from 3 exons. Lineage: Eukaryota; Metazoa; Chordata; Mammalia; Carnivora; Mustelidae.
CGCUGCGUCAUAGCGUGGCGACGUUCGCCUUACGUCAUCCCACGUAGGCAUUUUCUUUCUGCCGUCCUCACACGGAGAAGGGGAGAAACCUUUCUCAGGAGGCCCAAGCAGACUUCCCCCUCUCAGCUCCUGUUGGCCAGAAUGUGUAUCUUGCUACAAGAGAGCUUGGAAAGCAAGGUCCGUGGUCAAAGGAACGAGACUGACACAAAGCGAAAAUCAAACAAAGCUUUAUUUUACGCCAAGCAUCGAAAAUCAAACUGACUCCUAGGGGCCAUCUCUUACGAAGAGACGAAGACGAUGACCCCGACAAGGCCACUCCCAAGAAGGCCGCUCUGGAUGAGGCUGCUCUGGACGAGGCCGCUCUGCAGAUGAGGCCACUCUGGACGAGGCUGCUCCCAGGACAAGGCCGCUCCCAGGACAAGGCCGCUGGCCAACGAGGCAGCUCCCCAGACGAGGCCACUCGAAAAGGUGACGACAACCCUGACAAGGCCACUCUGGACGAGGCCGCUUGCCGAUGAGGCUGCUCUGGACGAGGCCACCCCCAACGACGAAAAGGCAACGAUGACGAGGACGACAACCCCGAUGACGCAGAGACGACGACAACGAGGACGAUAGCCCUGAUGACUCAGACUCUACUCCCCAUGACGCUGCUCCUGACGAGGCCGCUCCAGAUGAGGCCACUGCCUACGAGGCCGCUCCCCAGACAGGGCCGCUCCCGGGAAUGAGGUUGCUCCGGCAAGGCCACUCCCUGGAUGGGGCCGCUCCCCAGAAUGAUGCCGCUCCAGUGAGGCCACUGGCGGCGAGGCUGCUGGUGGCGAAGCUGUUCGCCGGGGCGUUGCUGCCUAUGACUACGAUGACCAGGAUGACCAUGACACUCCCAACGACCAUGAUGACCACAACGCUCCGACUCUCCUGAAGAUCACCCUAAGGGCUAUUCCAACGGCUAUUCUUACUCCUCCUACUACUCCCCAGCCUCACAGACUAACCUUUAUAUAGGUGGUUGAGCCUGGCCGCACACAGGUGGCCAAUGGGAUUUCAACUCACCACAGUAAAUAUAUGCGUGCCCCACUGAUUGGAUGUCUCCAUCGGGCCUGGCCUGCCCCUAUAUCCGGGGUUUACAACUAAGUUCCUCUGGCUAACCAGGCCCUUACACUGCCCUUAUUUUAUUGAGAGUGAAAUUAAACUUUUUUAUGUUGAUUUGUGAGAGCUUUAUAUGUAAUUGCCUGUUUGUAGUCAUAUACAUCGUAAUUAUUUUCCUAGUUGUGAUACCAAAUUUCAUGUAAAAUUUUGCCUCUUACAUGCUUAAUGAUUUGAAUAGUAAUCAAAUCUGAAUAUUUGUGUUACAUUUAAAAAAUGUCUUCCCCCUUGGGGCGCCCGGGUGGCUCAGGGGGUUAAGGCCU